This 407-nucleotide ribosomal RNA is filed under the name uncultured bacterium. RNAcentral describes it as "partial 16S ribosomal RNA". It matches the Rfam family "Bacterial small subunit ribosomal RNA", at positions 30 to 526 of the family's 1533-position model. The record is from RNAcentral.
AUUGAACGCUGGCGGCAGGCCUAACACAUGCAAGUCGAGCGGAGCGGCGGACGGGCGAGUAAUGCCUAGGAAUCUGCCUGGUAGUGGGGGAUAACGUCCGGAAACGGGCGCUAAUACCGCAUCCUAUCAGUUGAGCCUAGGUCGGAUUAGCUAGUUGGUGGGGUAAAGGCCUACCAAGGCGACGAUCCGUAACUGGUCUGAGAGGAUGAUCAGUCAAACUGGAACUGCGACACGGUCCAAACUCCUACAGGCGGCAGCAGUGGGGAAUAUUGGACGAUGGGCGAAAGCCUGAUCCAGCCAUGCCGCGUGUGUGAAGAAGGUCUGCGGAUUGUAAAGUGCUUUAAGUUGGGAGACGUUACCAACAGAAUAAGCACCGGCUAACUACGUGCCAGCAGCCGCGGUAAUAC